This is a long non-coding RNA of Gallus gallus (chicken), 692 nucleotides long. The record is from Ensembl. Lineage: Eukaryota; Metazoa; Chordata; Aves; Galliformes; Phasianidae.
UCCCAAGGAGAAAGGCUCUCUAGCUGGAGAGCCUUCCUUUUGGAUCCCUUUCACAAGCCCAGGACACAGUUCCUUUUGUGUGCCACAGAAGCCAAGAAUCUCUCCCACAAUCCUCUGAAAAAGAUAAUAUAUAUCCUCAGUGUACUGCUGAAGAAAAACCCAGAAUCCACCCUGCAAAGCCUGUAGCUCCCCACAGGGUUGCUCUGAGCUCAGUGGAAGGCAGUGGUUUGGGAAGAGGAGAAAGAAAACGAGGAGAGUUCUGAUUGACAAAGCUCUGAGAGGUCUUCCAAAUCACUUUUUCUUCUAGUUUUCAGUGCUCAUUUGUUUUAAACAUUGACCAGAGAUCUAGAGUGCAAAACCAGCUGUACUUAUUUCAGUUUGCAAUGUUUGGUUACAUUUGAAUUCUUUGUACUGAAACCUACUCAUCUGUCAAACAUACAGGGGGUUGGUUGGUUUGUUUGUUUUGUUUUUUUUCCAAAGUGGAUAGCCUCACCCUAACAAAAUACUACUUGUGUGGGUCGGUGAGUUUGGUCACCUGGGUACAUACUACUACUGAGUCCUUGUUCCUGAGAAUCCAAUGGAGCCAUUUAUGCAAGGAAGGACUAUUUGCAACUACUUUUCAGGAUGCAGCUGCAUUGUGAAAAGUUUUGUAUAGUCUACAAAAAUAGUAUGGCAUGUAAUCUUAAAGGCCU